UCGGGUUGUAAAACCACUUUUGUCCGGAAAGAAAACACGUGCCCUUAAUACGGUGUGUGGAUGACGGUACCGGAAGAAUAAGCACCGGCAACUACGUGCCAGCAGCCGCGGUAAUACGUAGGGUGCGAGCGUUAAUCGGAAUUACUGGGCGUAAAGCGUGCGCAGGCGGUUUGCUAAGACCGAUGUGAAAUCCCCGGGCUUAACCUGGGAACUGCAUUGGUGACUGGCAGGCUAGAGUAUGGCAGAGGGGGGUAGAAUUCCACGUGUAGCAGUGAAAUGCGUAGAGAUGUGGAGGAAUACCGAUGGCGAAGGCAGCCCCCUGGGCCAAUACUGACGCUCAUGCACGAAAGCGUGGGGAGCAAACAGGAUUAGAUACCCUGGUAGUCCACGCCCUAAACGAUGUCAACUAGUUGUUGGGGAUUCAUUUCCUUAGUAACGUAGCUAACGCGUGAAGUUGACCGCCUGGGGAGUACGGUCGCAAGAUUAAAACUCAAAGGAAUUGACGGGGACCCGCACAAGCGGUGGAUGAUGUGGAUUAAUUCGAUGCAACGCGAAAAACCUUACCUACCCUUGACAUGGACGGAAGGCCGCUG
Molecule: ribosomal RNA, 593 nt
Filed under: uncultured Burkholderia sp.
Lineage: Bacteria; Pseudomonadati; Pseudomonadota; Betaproteobacteria; Burkholderiales; Burkholderiaceae
Description: bacterial SSU rRNA
Rfam family: Bacterial small subunit ribosomal RNA
Source: RNAcentral